Molecule: ribosomal RNA, 436 nt
Filed under: Appasus japonicus
Lineage: Eukaryota; Metazoa; Arthropoda; Insecta; Hemiptera; Belostomatidae
Description: partial 16S rRNA
Source: RNAcentral
GUCCUUUUGAUUUUUAUAUAAGGUCUGACCUGCCCUAUGAAUAUUUAAAUGGCCGCGGUAUACUAACCGUGCAAAGGUAGCAUAGUCAUUUGUCUCUUAAUUGGAGGCUUGAAUGAAGGGUUGGACGAGAUAUAAGCUUUCUUUGUUAUAUUUUAUUGAAUUUGACUUUUGAGUUAAAAGGCUUAAAUUUUUUUAUAGGACGAGAAGACCCUAUAGAAUUUUAUAUAUUUGUAUAAUUGAUUUAUUUAUUUAUUAUUUAAUUUCUUGUUUAAAUAUAUUUUGUUGGGGCGAUGGGAAGAUUUUAAUAACUCUUUUUUGUUUUGAUCAUUGAUUUAUGUUUUAUUCUGAUCCUUUUUUAGAGAUUAUAAGAUUAAAUUACCUUAGGGAUACCAGCGUAAUUCUUUUGGAGAGUUCUUAUCGAUAAAAGAGUUUGCGA